AUGAUUAUUGCAGGAGAGAUAUUCUUGCAAAGGAUACGCCGAAGGAGCAACGACCCCGGAAACUCUCAGGCAGAAGGACUGUAAUAAUCGA
RNAcentral lists this non-coding RNA (91 nucleotides) under Acinetobacter sp. Its description in RNAcentral is "Glycine sequence". It matches the Rfam family "Glycine riboswitch aptamer". From Rfam's summary of the family: This family represents the bacterial glycine riboswitch. Glycine riboswitches usually consist of two metabolite-binding aptamers domains with similar structures in tandem. The aptamers cooperatively bind glycine to regulate the expression of downstream genes. The record is from RNAcentral. RNAcentral also lists the same sequence under 2 other names. Lineage: Bacteria; Pseudomonadati; Pseudomonadota; Gammaproteobacteria; Moraxellales; Moraxellaceae.